This 277-nucleotide ribosomal RNA is filed under the name uncultured Dialister sp. RNAcentral's name for it is "partial 16S ribosomal RNA". It matches the Rfam family "Bacterial small subunit ribosomal RNA", at positions 79 to 339 of the family's 1533-position model. The record is from RNAcentral. Lineage: Bacteria; Bacillati; Bacillota; Negativicutes; Veillonellales; Veillonellaceae.
CUCUUUUCAGAAUUGAGUGGCAAACGGGUGAGUAACACGUAAACAACCUGCCUUCAGGAUGGGGACAACAGACGGAAACGACUGCUAAUACCGAAUAAGUUCCAAGGGCCGCAUGGCCCAUGGAAGAAAAGGUGGCCUCUACCUGUAAGCUAUCGCCUGAAGAGGGGUUUGCGUCUGAUUAGCUGGUUGGUGAGGUAACGGCCCACCAAGGCGACGAUCAGUAGCCGACUUGAGAGAGUGAUCGGCCACAUUGGAACUGAGACACGGUCCAAACUCC